CGUAGGUGGCGAGCGUUGUCCGGAUUUAUUGGGUUUAAAGGGUGCGUAGGCGGUCCUAUAAGUCAGUGCUGAAAUAUCCCGGCUUAACCGGGAGGGUGGCAUUGAUACUGCAGGACUUGAGUAAAGUUGAGGUUGGCGGAAUUGACGGUGUAGCGGUGAACUGCUUAGAUAUCGUCAAGAACACCGAUAGUGUAGACAGCUAACUAAGCUUUAACUGACGCUGAGGCACGAAAGUGUGGGGAUCAAACAGGAUUAGAUACCCUGGUAGUCCACACUGUAAACGUUGAUUACUCGAUGUUGGCGAUACACUGUCAGCGUCUUAGCGAAAGCGAUAAGUAAUCCACCUGGGGAGUACGCCGGCAACGGUG
Molecule: ribosomal RNA, 368 nt
Filed under: uncultured organism
Description: bacterial SSU rRNA
Rfam family: Bacterial small subunit ribosomal RNA
Source: RNAcentral